Long non-coding RNA from Symphalangus syndactylus (siamang), 464 nucleotides. RefSeq lists it as uncharacterized. NCBI's taxonomy places the organism in Eukaryota, Metazoa, Chordata, Mammalia, Primates, Hylobatidae. The record is from RefSeq and is a predicted model, not a curated record.
AAGCUGAGGGAGCCGGCUCCCGCCUUGGCCAGCCCAGCAAGGGGCCCCACAGUGCAGUGGUGGGCUGAAGGGCUCCCCAAGUGCCGCCAAAGUCGGAGCCCAGGCAGAGGAGGCACCGAGAGCGAGUGAGGGCUGUGAAGACUGCCAGAACGCUGUCACCUCUCAGUGGCAGGAAGGAGAAGUGCCAAGCAGAAAGAGGAAAAGCCCCAUAUGAAACCAUCAGAUUUUAUGAGAACAGCAUGGAGGAACAAUGGUUUCCACUAGAGGAUAGUUAUUAACACCUCGAGGAUAACUACUGCUUGUGAUGGCACUACCAAGAUACCCCAACUCUGGUACGUGCUUUCUAGAGUCAGCUCCAAAUAUAUAAACUGCUAUACAAAGAUAAGGAUUUCUCUAGGGAGAAUUUGUACCACUCUGCAAAGACACUAAUGAGGCAGACCAAGAGCUGACAGACUUAUGCCAGG